Molecule: long non-coding RNA, 1855 nt
Organism: Acanthochromis polyacanthus (spiny chromis)
Lineage: Eukaryota; Metazoa; Chordata; Actinopteri; Pomacentridae
Exons: 3
Source: RefSeq, a predicted model, not a curated record
GGGAGGGGGAGGGGCGCAUCUGCACCGAAUAGAUAAGCCGCUGAGGGUUAGGGAGACACUUUAGACCUGACUUUGGCGUCCGAGGGGAAGGGUCUUCCAGGAAAAACACAUUCUAAAAUAACACGUGAUGUUGCAUUGUGCUCCAGCUUGGGUGUCGUCUCCAGAAAAGUGCAACCAAUGCUGCAACGUUUCCUUUGACUCUGGCUCAUUUUAGCAUUAAGACUGUCAGAAUUUGGAAUGGGGAUGCUGUUCAUAGACUCCAGGACUGUUUUUAUGUGUUCAAUGAGCAGAGAACACUGAGUGACCCUAGACUGGGACUGCAGGAAUACACAACCACUGUUUUGGAGUACAUUAACUGCUGUGUGGACAAUGUCACCAGCAAGAAAACAGUUUGAGUGUUUCCCAACCAGAAGCCAUGGAUGACACAGGAGGUGGGAUCACUGUUAAGGUUGCGUGAUGCUGCCUACAGGUCUGGGGAUGCUACAGCAUACAAUGUGGGGAGGAUGGCACUGUAGAAGGACAUAAGUUCUGCAAAAGCCAGUCACAAGCAGCCGGUUUAAAGCACUUCAACAACCCCACAGACACAAGGCAGGUGUGGGAGGGAAAAAGAGCAAUCACUGACUACAAAUGAAAACCAUCUCUCUCUGCUAACAGCUCUCCUUCCCUUACUGAGGAGUUGAACCUGUUUUAUGCUCAGUUUGACAGAGAUAAUAGUAGCCCAGUGCUGCAUCCACUCCCCUCCAAUGAGGUUGCACCUAUCCUGAGUGCACACAAGGUCAGGUUCUGCCGACAGAAUGUCAAACCCAGAAAGAACUCCGGACCGGAUGAUGUUACAGGCCAGGUCCUAAAGGACUGUACUGACCGGUUGACUGAGGUAUUCACUGACAUUUACAAUCACUCCCUCACUGUGUCAUGUGUCCCUCCCUGCCUUAAAACAUCCACAAUAAUCCUCGUACCAAAACAGGCAGCAGCCACAUGGUUGAAGGACUACAGGCUCGUGGCUGUCACGCGCCUACCAGCCAAAUGCUUGGAGAGACUGGCGCUGAAGCACAUCAGAACUGUCAUCCCAGCCUCCUUCGACCACCAUCAGUUUGCCUACAGGGAGAACGGUUCUACGGAAGAUGCUGUUGCCAAUGUGCUCCACACUGCACUCGAGCAUGUGGAGCAACAAAACGCAUACGUACAAAGAUCUUCCUCAACUUUAGCUUUGCCUUUAACACCAUCCUGCCAGGCAAACUCCUCACAGAACUGCAAGACUUAAACAUCAACCCCUCACUGUUCAACAGCGCAAGUGCCCCACAGGAUGUGUGCUCAGUCCACUGCUCCACACACGACUGUUCUCUCUCCUAUCCAGCCAACUAUAUUGCCAAAUUUGCAGAUGACACUACUGUGCUCGGACUUAUUACUAACAACAAUGACUCUGCAUACAGGAGGGAAGUUCAGCAUCUGGUCUCAUGGUGUGUAGAGCAUGAUCUCAGCCUUAAUAUCAAGAAGACCAAAGAGAUUACUGUAGAUUUCAACAAGUUAGGACAGCACCAUCCAUUAUACUGAACAUCAGCGCAGAGGGAGAGCAGCGGAGACUAUCCUCACCAGUGGCUGAGCAUCUGCUUCCAUUGGGAGUACUGCGAGCAGUUUAUCCAGACUGGUCUGUGGAGCUGCCUGCCAGGUCUAGAGCGAAACCUCCAGACAGAGGUCCUGGACCCCCUCCUAACCCUCCGGAUUGAUGAAGCACAUGGCCUCCAGAUAGAGGACAUGCCCCUCCCCGGACUGCACCCACCAGCUCUGUCCCUAACUGCUGACCCUGUGGAGCCUGCCUUCCUCCCCCUCUUCCCUCAGUUAAUGAGUUUCUGGCCAU